Amblyraja radiata (thorny skate) is the source of this 156-nucleotide non-coding RNA. RefSeq annotates it as small Cajal body-specific RNA 1. Lineage: Eukaryota; Metazoa; Chordata; Chondrichthyes; Rajiformes; Rajidae. The record is from RefSeq and is a predicted model, not a curated record. The transcript has a single exon.
GUGCACCAGAUACUAGCCUUGCUAUCAAUGUCACAGCUUUAUACCUGAGACAAACCAUGAUUGUUGGGUCCAAAUGGUGCUAAAUCAAAGUAAGCCUGGAGUAUAUUAGCUCGGCGCAUGGAGAAACACCAUGAGUUAUAACUCAGAGGCACAUUU